GACGAACGCUGGCGGCGUGCUUAACACAUGCAAGUCGAACGGAAAGGCCCUGCUUUUGUGGGGUGCUCGAGUGGCGAACGGGUGAGUAACACGUGAGUAACCUGCCCUUGACUUUGGGAUAACUUCAGGAAACUGGGGCUAAUACCGGAUAGGAGCUCCUGCUGCAUGGUGGGGGUUGGAAAGUUUCGGCGGUUGGGGAUGGACUCGCGGCUUAUCAGCUUGUUGGUGGGGUAGUGGCUUACCAAGGCUUUGACGGGUAGCCGGCCUGAGAGGGUGACCGGCCACAUUGGGACUGAGAUACGGCCCAGACUCCUACGGGAGGGAGCAGGGGGGAAUAUUGCACAAUGGGCGGAAGGCUGAUGCAGGCACGGCGCGUGCGGGAUGACGGCCUUCGGGGUGGAAACCGCUUUUCCCUGGGAAGAAGCGGGAGUGACGGUAAUGGGUAAAGAAGCAACGGCUAACUACGGG
This 468-nucleotide ribosomal RNA is filed under the name uncultured bacterium. RNAcentral's name for it is "partial 16S ribosomal RNA". It matches the Rfam family "Bacterial small subunit ribosomal RNA", at positions 28 to 507 of the family's 1533-position model. The record is from RNAcentral.